GAUGCCCCCCAGGACAUGCUUUGCCCUCCAGGCUGCCAGGGCACUGCUGCCUCAUGUUCAAAUUGCCAUCCACCGGGAGCCCCUGGUCCUGUUCCAUGGCACUGCUUUCCAGCAUCUCAUUCCCCAGACAGUAUGAACACCCGGGGUCACCCUGUCCCAGAUGCAGAAUCCAGCACAUGGCAGAGGAGAUUCAGUCAUGCAGAGAUCCACAUAUCUAAUUCUGUGUCCCUUGCCACACAUAAUAACCCUCCUGAGGUUAUAAGGACCUAGGUAGGGGCUCUGCUGUCUCCCUGAGAAGGGUUUCAUGGCUUUUGCAGGUGCCAGGUCAUGUCCUGGGCAAAGGCUCUCCAAGCAGGUUUGGUUUGGCUCCCUUCCUUUCCCGAGGAUGAGUCUGCAUAAUGCUGAUCAGCCUCUGAUCCAGACCAGAGCAAUUUCAUGGACUCUGACAUCAGCCUCUGCUGGAUGCUGCUUAGCAACUGCCCCAAAAUUUGGGUGCUUUCAGCUGAGGUUGUUUGGGGAUUCUAUGGCAGAUGGCCUGUCACCCCAGCCUGUGGUCCUACUGUAUCCCCAGGCCACCUGAGGUCACAGCGAGAGGAAGAGGACAUGAGGCUAAGCCGAGCUGAGGGUCUGUGAUACCUUGCCCAGCACCUUCCUCAUACUGACUUGGAGCUGAGGGAGCUGGGGGUGUUUAGUCUGGGGGAAAGGAGGCUAAGGGAGGACCUUAUAUCUCCCUACAACUGCUUGAAAGAGGGUUGUAGCCAGGUAGGGAUAGGUCUCUCUCUUCUCCCAGGUAUCAAGUGAACAGACCAGAAGAAAUGGCCUCAAGUUACGCCAUGGGAGGUUAGAUUGUGUAUUAGGAAAAAAGUCUUCAGGAAAGGGUUGUAAGGCAUUGGAACAGGUUGUCCAGGGAAGUGGUUGAGUCACCAUUACUCAAAGUAUUUAAAGGAUGUGCAGAUGUAGCACUUGGGGACAUGGUUUAGAGAUGGACUUGGCAGUGCUGGAUUACUGGUUGGACUUGAUGAUCUUAAAGGUCUUUACCAACCUAAGUGAUUCUAUGAGCACAUCAUUGCUCUGUUUUGCUCUAUUUGAGUUGUCACACAAACUUUAUUUUAGGUGACAUCCUCCAUCUGCUGCAAUCCUCCCCACAGAGUGAGCAUGAGGAACAGGGUAAGAAAGCUGGAAUAUGAUUGUGACAAGGGAACCAUCCUGUGGAGAAAAAAUUCCCAAUCCUUCUUCCUUGCUUGUGUCCUCAGAACUGUAAAGCCUGAGCAGAUGGCAGUGCUUGGAGCAGGCUGGGGAACUGGGGGAAGAAAGACAGGAAUGAGGGUCAGGAAUCCAGUGUAUGGGAACUGGAGGAGGGAAGGGACACAUCAAGUGCCAAAGGAUGGGGAACCUAAUGGCUGUGCACAGCACGUUGCAGGGAGGGAAGAUGCUGGGCAGAGUAAGAGGAGUUCAUGCCAGCCAGAAGCAGACUCCCAUGGCCCUGGGGGAUGUCCCAUAUCUCACUCAUCUGUAGCAGGAUUAAGGGGAGGGCUGAGUCAGUCAAACCAUCACAAAGCAAUGGCAAGAAAUCAACUUUUUUUCAGCAGGGUAGUCAGUCUGAAAAAAUCUCAGCUUCUAACAAAUACUAACCAAAAUACGUAAAAGAAAAUGUUGCUGUGGUUUUGGUAGUUAGGGGGUAUUUUGGUAUUGCAAUAAAAAACAAACCAGAAAAUUAAAAAAGAGGUUAUAAAUGUUAUUUUUUUGAGCACAUUUUUCCCCUUUCUUAUGAAAACAUGAUAUUGCCUCAGGCCCCUCUAAAACAGGUGAGGAAAUAGCAUGCAAGGCAGAAAACUUGGGAAAUGUUGCAACUGGUUAUACAGAGAACAAGUAUUCUUCACAUCGGGUUUUGCACUAUGCAAUGCCAGUUUGAGAUUUCAGCAGAGUCCUCUGGGAAUUUUAAUCCAGUUUUGGAAAUAUAUAAAUAAUGGGUGAAUCAAGGCCAGAGGGAUCCUCGUUGCGCUGCAUUUUUGAUGUCUUCUGACUUGACUGUGAGAGGAAGGAUUUUGUAGAGUCCUCUAGGAGAGCUAGAAAGAGAGUGGGUUGUCUUUCAGAUUUGAUGUUAUAAUUUUCCACUGUAGGAGGUGAAAGGUAAACCUGCUCAGAGGUAGACAUAUGCAAUGGAGGAAAAUUAAAUCUGAAGAUCAACAUUUCCAGAGCGAGGUCCACACUACAGCUGAUAAAUUUUAAUAACCUGUAAGCUGAAAGGGAGCACAAACUCAGAAAAAUGAGGCAGUUCAUUCCCUCAAGAUAAAAAAAAACACAGAACAACUUCACACACACGUAAAACCCCCACAGAGUAGUAAAUCCCUCAGAUUCUGAUUGAAACUAUGUCUUUAAUCUACCAGGAUCUACUCAGAAUUAAGUAUCAAUCAGGGAAAGACUUCACAUACUGCUGUGAAUACUCAUAUCCUUCUGAAGAACUGCGGAGUGAAUGGGCCACAUAAAAUUUUCUACCAAAGACUGUUUCAUUUUCCCAUCCCAGCAUUCUGCUAUAAGUAGAGGUAUUUACCUUAUCUCCAGGGUAAGUUGCUUCUCUUUGUGCAUCACAGUUAAGUCAAAAGAUCUUAUGUUUAUGAAUAUUACACAGAAGUUAUUUGAAUGUCUAUUAAAAUGAAGAUAAAUAUGUUUAAAUGUGCUUCCAGAGUAGCUCUGUGAUUGCAGAAAUUAUUCUCCUGCAUGAGAAGCUUUGGAAACUGAAAGAUUACUUUUUUCUCUAGACUUAUUACAAGCUGAAUAUUGUUUGCUAGAGGCACUAUAUCUAGAUGUCUCUUGGCAUGGUCCAGUAGCAGUGGGAUGCAGAGAGACUGUGACUUAAGCAUGACACUAACUACUAUUUAUGUGUUGUGAGCUGGUCCCAACAAGUUUUGUGACCCUGGCUGCAUUGGUGGUUCAACAAUCCUGCAACAAGACCAGACAAAUGUCUAAAAAAUGAAAGGACUUUCUAUUUUCCAGAGUAAGGGGAGAAAUUGUGAUGAAGUUGACAAGAGUUGUCAGGAAACUUCCUGCAGUUUUUGGAGAAGUCCCUCAGUUAUGCAUGGUGAACUGUCACAUGUAAGGAUUCGGUCAACCCCAGUGCCGUGAUUGAUGGUGUGAGCAAAGCCUUGUUGGCGCCAUCUCGAAGGCAGGUGCCCAUUAAGAGAAGACAAGGAUGAAGGUGUCUUGCAGGACUUACAACUCCCCUAUCAGUGCUGGGCAGAGACUACUGCCACCACCCUCAGCACCUCAGAGGAAAAAGCUGCACAUGCCUUCAGGAAAGCAGGAAAAGCUGCAAAAUUUGGGGACAGAGCCCCACCUCGUGGAAAGGACCUCAGGCCCUGCUUACCAGAGGCUUUUGUGGGUUGGCUUGUGUGCCCCAGCAUGACCUCAUGCCUCACAUCCUGCCUGCUGCUACAUUAAUUAGUCUAAUAAGAGGUUUUAUCUCAGUGUCAGUCACAGUCACACUGCACACAGCACAGGAAUGGAGCGGUUCCUGGGUCUUCCUCUCCCACAGUUCAAGAUAUUCUGUGCAGCUCACGAAAACAAAGUGAACUUGCCCCCUUCCAAGGAUUCUGAUUUGGGAAAUGAAGUCUAGCUAUGCCAGACAGGGCUCACCCCUUGCACAGGUGCCAACAGUGGAGGCAGAAGUUUGCGUGCUCUCCCCAUGUCCAGCAUGGAUCACAGGAGUCUCCGCACUCAGGAUGCCCAUGAUGGCCUCUGAAUAUCCCUGCACCGUCCAUGGGCUGCAUUAGAGGUAAACCUUCCUUUCAGCCUCUGAAUAUCCCUGCACCGUCCAUGGGCUGCAUUAGAGGUACAGUCUGCAGAGAAGGGCACGGUUGAAUGGGGUCAAUCAGGAGAUGGGAGAUGUGGCAAUCUGGGAUUUCCCUUGUCUUCUGACUUCUACCCUGGUGGAAACUGAACCCCAGCAGUACUCUCACUCAAGCUCUUGACUCUACACUCAGCCCAGGCUGUCCAGUAAGAACUUGCUACCUCUGUCUAAGACACAGAUGUCUGCUGGCCAGGGGCCACAGCUGUUUACGUGAAAAACACGUAAGUGGACCAAAGGUAUACAAGCACAAGCAGCCUUCAAAGGAUACCUGCUUUACUGAGUAGAAGAGAACCAGAGAGACAGCUCAAGUACUGGAUCCCCCAAGCAGUUGUCCAUACUCUGAGCUCAUUCCCUGACUCCAAUCUGGAUGUCUUCAGCUAUCUGUUUUCAAGAGAAAUCUUGUACAAGAAGAACUAGCCCUGAGUGCUGUAAACACCCAGAGCAGCAUGACAGUGAGGCUGGGGUAUGUCUCCAGCAGUAUUUAGUCUCCAAAAUAACUCAUCUAGUCUCCACUAUGUUUAGCAGUGUGGACAAAGCUGUGCAGAAUCUAUAUCAUUAUAUGGAUAACUGAUCUAUCUUCAAGUCAUGAGCAUAUCCUUAGACUUCCACAGCAAAAAAAGGGAGUGAGAAGUAAGGAAGUAACAAAGUUGUUCAUGAUCCUGGAAAUGAAAUAGAGCUGAAAGUCCAUAAAGGAAUCAAGAAGUAAAAAUAAAUGUGAGGCUACCUGCAUAAAAGCUUGAGAAGCAGUGAUUCAGGCAACACCUUGAAUGUGUCCCCCAGAAACUGGGAGUUAAAAGGAUUUUGGGAAGUUCUCACUACCCAACAGGUAGUGAGACCCAGAGGAGCAUCUCAUCUGCAUGGAAAAGCCUUCCUCCUUCAUGGCUGUUUAAGGUUUUUUUCCCUCUCCAUUCUUUUAGUACCUUCCCUACAAACGAGAACAUAGUGAUGCUUUGCCCACCUCUUCAGGCUCCCUUUGAUGAGUCAGAACCACUGUGCAAUUUUGUGACUUAAAAGAUAAAGAGGGAAGGGCAAAGCUCUAUCUCUUGUUACUGUACUUAAAGCUGUAAUUGUGUGUAAGUACUUGCAAAUAUCAAGGCCAUCUUUGGAGACAAUGAUGUGUAAUGGCUCUUUGUCCAGUGGAACAUAAUGGCUAAAUCAAUGUAAAGUGUCAUGAAUUUCUUUUUUCUGCUCUCCCUGGGGCUGUUCUUUCCAGUUACGUAUGUUCAGCUUUGAUCUCUAGAAAAAUCAAUGAAGAUUUAGUUGUUCUCAAAAAACCCCAAGCUAAAAAUUUAAAGCAUUUUCUGUCAUCUUGGUGUGGAAUAUGUAAUCCCUCUCCCCCUCAGGGACCCUUCAGAGCACGUGACUCAGCAAGCUUUUGUGAAA
Cyanistes caeruleus (blue tit) is the source of this 5230-nucleotide non-coding RNA. The record is from RefSeq and is a predicted model, not a curated record. NCBI's taxonomy places the organism in Eukaryota, Metazoa, Chordata, Aves, Passeriformes, Paridae.